This 468-nucleotide ribosomal RNA is filed under the name uncultured bacterium. RNAcentral describes it as "partial 16S ribosomal RNA". It matches the Rfam family "Bacterial small subunit ribosomal RNA", at positions 28 to 507 of the family's 1533-position model. The record is from RNAcentral.
GACGAACGCUGGCGGCGUGCUUAACACAUGCAAGUCGAACGGAAAGGCCCUGCUUUUGUGGGGUGCUCGAGUGGCGAACGGGUGAGUAACACGUGAGUAACCUGCCCUUGACUUUGGGAUAACUUCAGGAAACUGGGGCUAAUACCGGAUAGGAGCUCCUGCUGCAUGGGGGGGGUUGGAAAGUUUCGGCGGUUGGGGAUGGACUAGCGGCUUAUCAGCUUGUUGGUGGAGUAGUGGCUUACCAAGUUUUCGACGGAUAGCCGGCCUGGGAGGGUGGACAGGCACAAGGGGCCUACGGUAGGGACCAGUCUCGUACGUUAGGCAGCGGUCGGAAGUCUUACGCAAUGGGGCCGAGCGUGAUGCGGAGGUGCUGCGUGCGGAAUGACGUCCUACGGGUUGUGAACCGCUUUCGCCUGUGACGUAGCGUGAGUGACGGUAAUGGGUAAAGAAGCACCGGCUAACUACGUG